UACAGAGGUCUCAAGCGUUGUUCGGAUUCAUUGGGCGUAAAGGGUGCGUAGGCGGCGCGGUAAGUCGGGUGUGAAAUCUCGGAGCUUAACUCCGAAACUGCAUUCGAUACUGCCGUGCUUGAGGACUGGAGAGGAGACUGGAAUUUACGGUGUAGCGGUGAAAUGCGUAGAUAUCGUAAGGAAGACCAGUGGCGAAGGCGGGUCUCUGGACAGUUCCUGACGCUGAGGCACGAAGGUCAGGGGAGCAGACGGG
Molecule: ribosomal RNA, 253 nt
Filed under: uncultured bacterium
Lineage: Bacteria
Description: partial 16S ribosomal RNA
Rfam family: Bacterial small subunit ribosomal RNA
Source: RNAcentral